This 254-nucleotide ribosomal RNA is filed under the name uncultured bacterium. RNAcentral describes it as "partial 16S ribosomal RNA". It matches the Rfam family "Bacterial small subunit ribosomal RNA", at positions 524 to 776 of the family's 1533-position model. The record is from RNAcentral.
UACGGAGGGUGCGAGCGUUGUCCGGAAUCAUUGGGCGUAAAGGGCGCGUAGGUGGCCCGGUCAGUUCGUGGUGAAAGCGCGGGGCUCAACCCUGCGUCGGCCAUGAAUACUGCCGCGGCUGGAGCACUGUAGAGGCAGGCGGAAUUCCGGGUGUAGCGGUGGAAUGCGUAGAGAUCCGGAAGAACACCUGCGGCGAAGGCGGGUUGCUGGGCUGACACUGACGCUGAUGCGCGAAAGCCAGGGGAGCGAACGGG